RNAcentral lists this ribosomal RNA (254 nucleotides) under uncultured bacterium. RNAcentral's name for it is "partial 16S ribosomal RNA". It matches the Rfam family "Bacterial small subunit ribosomal RNA", at positions 524 to 776 of the family's 1533-position model. The record is from RNAcentral.
UACAGAGGGGGCGAGCGUUAUUCGGAAUUAUUGGGCGUAAAGGGCGCGUAGGCGGCCUUUCAAGUGACGGGUGAAAUCCCUCGGCUUAACCGAGGAACUGCCUGUCAGACUGGAAGGCUUGAGACCGGGAGAGGUGAGUGGAAUUCCCCAGUGUAGCGGUGAAAUGCGUAGAUAUUGGGAGGAACACCAGUGGCGAAGGCGGCUCACUGGACCGGAACUGACGCUGAGGCGCGAAAGCGUGGGGAGCAAACAGG